RNAcentral lists this ribosomal RNA (441 nucleotides) under uncultured bacterium. RNAcentral describes it as "partial 16S ribosomal RNA". It matches the Rfam family "Bacterial small subunit ribosomal RNA", at positions 338 to 795 of the family's 1533-position model. The record is from RNAcentral.
CCUACGGGCGGCUGCAGUGGGGAAUAUUGCACAAUGGGGGCAACCCUGAUGCAGCGACGCCGCGUGGGUGAAGGAGUAUUUCGGGAUGUAAAGCCCGAUCAGCAGGGAAGAACAAUGACGGUACCUGACAAAGAAGCACCGGCUAAAUACGUGCCAGCAGCCGCGGUAAUACGGAUGGUGCAAGCGUUAUCCGGAUUUACUGGGUGUAAAGGGAGCGCAGGCGGGGGGGUAAGCCUGGGGUGAAAGCCCGCGGCCCAACCGCGGGACUGCAUUGUGAACUGGCGCGCUGGAGUGCCGGAGGGGUAGGCGGAAUUCCUCGUGUAGCGGUGAAAUGCGUAGAUAUUAGGAGGAACACCAGUGGCGAAGGCGUCCUACUGGACGGUGACUGACGCUGAGGCUCGACAGCGUGGGGAGCAAACAGGAUUAGAUACCCUUGUAGUC